UGGGUGUGAAGUGAUCUUGUAGCACCUGUA
Molecule: non-coding RNA, 30 nt
Filed under: Mus musculus (house mouse)
Lineage: Eukaryota; Metazoa; Chordata; Mammalia; Rodentia; Muridae
Source: RNAcentral